GAGUAAUGUCUGGGAAACUGCCUGAUGGAGGGGGAUAACUACUGGAAACGGUAGCUAAUACCGCAUAACGUCGCAAGACCAAAGAGGGGGACCUUCGGGCCUCUUGCCAUCGGAUGUGCCCAGAUGGGAUUAGCUAGUAGGUGGGGUAACGGCUCACCUAGGCGACGAUCCCUAGCUGGUCUGAGAGGAUGACCAGCCACACUGGAACUGAGACACGGUCCAGACUCCUACGGGAGGCAGCAGUGGGGA
This 249-nucleotide ribosomal RNA is filed under the name Escherichia coli. RNAcentral's name for it is "partial 16S ribosomal RNA". It matches the Rfam family "Bacterial small subunit ribosomal RNA", at positions 108 to 360 of the family's 1533-position model. The record is from RNAcentral. Lineage: Bacteria; Pseudomonadati; Pseudomonadota; Gammaproteobacteria; Enterobacterales; Enterobacteriaceae.